RNAcentral lists this ribosomal RNA (389 nucleotides) under uncultured bacterium. RNAcentral's name for it is "bacterial SSU rRNA". It matches the Rfam family "Bacterial small subunit ribosomal RNA", at positions 29 to 419 of the family's 1533-position model. The record is from RNAcentral.
AUUGAACGCUGGCGGCAUGCCUUACACAUGCAAGUCGAACGGUAACGCGGGGGCAAUCCCUGGCGACGAGUGGCGAACGGGUGAGUAAUACAUCGGAACGUACCCAGUAGUGGGGGAUAGCUCGGCGAAAGCCGGAUUAAUACCGCAUACGACCUAUGGGUGAAAGCGGGGAUCGCAAGACCUCGCGCUAUUGGAGCGGCCGAUGUCGGAUUAGCUAGUUGGUGAGGUAAAGGCUCACCAAGGCUACGAUCCGUAGCUGGUCUGAGAGGACGACCAGCCACACUGGGACUGAGACACGGCCCAGACUCCUACGGGAGGCAGCAGUGGGGAAUUUUGGACAAUGGGCGCAAGCCUGAUCCAGCCAUGCCGCGUGUGUGAAGAAGGCCUGG